UACGUAGGGUGCAAGCGUUGUCCGGAAUUAUUGGGCGUAAAGAGCUCGUAGGCGGUUUGUUGCGUCGGCUGUGAAAUCCCGAGGCUCAACCUCGGGUCUGCAGUCGAUACGAGCAAACUAGAGUGUUGUAGGGGAGACUGGAAUUCCUGGUGUAGCGGUGAAAUGCGCAGAUAUCAGGAGGAACACCGGUGGUGAAGGCGGGUCUCUGGGCAACAACUGACGCUGAGGAGCGAAAGCGUGGGGAGCGAACAGG
RNAcentral lists this ribosomal RNA (253 nucleotides) under uncultured bacterium. Its description in RNAcentral is "partial 16S ribosomal RNA". It matches the Rfam family "Bacterial small subunit ribosomal RNA", at positions 524 to 776 of the family's 1533-position model. The record is from RNAcentral.